CUUAGUGCCAGCCUUGCUUAUACUAAAAAGGGAUAUAUAACUUCGAUUCAAGCAAUUUAUGUACAUGCAGACGAUUUGAUUGACUCUGCCCCUGCCACAACAUUUGCACAUUUGGAUGCUACUACCAUACUUUUCAGAGGAGUAGCUUCUAGGGGUAUUUAUCCAACAGUAGAUCCUUUAGAUUCAACCUCCGCGAAUAGCAAUGGCGGGCCUUCGUCUACGACCGCCACAGUCGUGUGGAGUAGAAGUGUCUAG
Molecule: ribosomal RNA, 255 nt
Filed under: Triticum aestivum (bread wheat)
Lineage: Eukaryota; Viridiplantae; Streptophyta; Magnoliopsida; Poales; Poaceae
Description: partial small subunit ribosomal RNA
Source: RNAcentral